UACGUAGGGGGCAAGCGUUGUCCGGAUUUAUUGGGCGUAAAGAGCGUGUAGGCGGUUAGGUAGGUCCGUUGUGAAAACUCGAGGCUCAACCUCGAGACGCCGAUGGAAACCAUCUGACUAGAGUCCGGAAGAGGAGAGUGGAAUUCCUGGUGUAGCGGUGAAAUGCGCAGAUAUCAGGAAGAACACCCGUGGCUAAGGCGGCUCUCUAGUACGUGACUGACGCUGAGACGCGAAAGCGUGGGGAGCGAACGGG
RNAcentral lists this ribosomal RNA (253 nucleotides) under uncultured bacterium. Its description in RNAcentral is "partial 16S ribosomal RNA". It matches the Rfam family "Bacterial small subunit ribosomal RNA", at positions 524 to 776 of the family's 1533-position model. The record is from RNAcentral.